AUCCAAGAUGAGUCAUUGUUCCAAGGGACCAUCUAGUGCCCCUCUCAGGAAAGUAGCAGCUUGGGAUAGAAUAUGGCCUGCCCGUCAUGUCCUUGGGUGAAAGGAAUGCUCUUCUCCUUUUGCCUACAUAGAUUAAAUAAAUAA
Molecule: small nucleolar RNA, 144 nt
Organism: Echinops telfairi (small Madagascar hedgehog)
Lineage: Eukaryota; Metazoa; Chordata; Mammalia; Afrosoricida; Tenrecidae
Source: Ensembl